RNAcentral lists this ribosomal RNA (850 nucleotides) under Polypedates leucomystax (Java whipping frog). RNAcentral describes it as "partial 16S ribosomal RNA". It matches the Rfam family "Bacterial large subunit ribosomal RNA", at positions 1523 to 2609 of the family's 2925-position model. Lineage: Eukaryota; Metazoa; Chordata; Amphibia; Anura; Rhacophoridae. The record is from RNAcentral.
AAGAUACCAUCAACCACACUGAACCCUUAUUUCAUAAUGAAUGACUCCAUAUUACUAUGGAAGACACCAUGUUGGGAUUAGUAACAAGAAAACAUUCUCCAAAAUGCAAGCAUAAACCAGAAAGGACAGACCACUGGUAAUUAUCGAACUUGAAACCACUGCAGAAACACUCACAAGAAAAUCCUGCAGUAUUUAAUCGUUAACCUAACACUAGCGCAUUUCAGGAAAGAUUUAAAGAAAAAGAAGGAACUCGGCAAAUAACAACCCCGCCUGUUUACCAAAAACAUCGCCUCUUGCCUUCCUAUAAGAGGUCUAGCCUGCCCAGUGAAUUUUUAACGGCCGCGGUAUCCUAACCGCGCGAAGGUAGCAUAAUCACUUGUUCUUUAAAUGAGGACUUGUAUCAACGGCAUCACGAGGGUUUUACUGUCUCCUUUUUCUAAUCAGUGAAAUUGAUCUUCCCGUGAAGAAGCGGGAAUUUAUACAUAUAAGACGAGAAGACCCCAUGGAGCUUCAAACCUAACAACAACUUAACCUUAAAAUCCCUAAUAGUUAUAAAACAAUGCUGUAAGGUUUUGGGUUGGGGUGACCGCGGAGUAAAACACAACCUCCACGACGAAAAGGCCACAAUCUUUAUUUAAGAAUAACAAUUCUAGAAAUUAGUACACUAACGCUCUCUGAUCCGACAAUCGAUCAACGGACCAAGUUACCCUGGGGAUAACAGCGCAAUCUACUUCAAGAGCCCAUAUCGACAAGUAGGCUUACGACCUCGAUGUUGGAUCAGGAUAUCCCAGUGGUGCAGCCGCUACUAAAGGUUCGUUUGUUCAACGAUUAAAAUCCUACGUGAUCUGAU